GCCGAACGCUUUCUUCUUUCUUAACACAUGCAAGUCGAACGGAAAGGCCCUGCUUUUGUGGGGUGCUCGAGUGGCGAACGGGUGAGUAACACGUGAGUAACCUGCCCUUGACUUUGGGAUAACUUCAGGAAACUGGGGCUAAUACCGGAUAGGAGCUCCUGCUGCAUGGUGGGGGUUGGAAAGUUUCGGCGGUUGGGGAUGGACUCGCGGCUUAUCAGCUUGUUGGUGGGGUAGUGGCUUACCAAGGCUUUGACGGGUAGCCGGCCUGAGAGGGUGACCGGCCACAUUGGGACUGAGAUACGGCCCAGACUCCUACGGGAGGCAGCAGUGGGGAAUAUUGCACAAUGGGCGGAAGCCUGAUGCAGCAACGCCGCGUGCGGGAUGACGGCCUUCGGGUUGUAAACCGCUUUCGCCUGUGACGAAGCGUGAGUGACGGUAAUGGGUAAAGAAGCACCGGCUAACUACGUG
This 468-nucleotide ribosomal RNA is filed under the name uncultured bacterium. RNAcentral describes it as "partial 16S ribosomal RNA". It matches the Rfam family "Bacterial small subunit ribosomal RNA", at positions 28 to 507 of the family's 1533-position model. The record is from RNAcentral.